Long non-coding RNA from Wasmannia auropunctata (little fire ant), 310 nucleotides. RefSeq lists it as uncharacterized. NCBI's taxonomy places the organism in Eukaryota, Metazoa, Arthropoda, Insecta, Hymenoptera, Formicidae. The transcript has 3 exons. The record is from RefSeq and is a predicted model, not a curated record.
CUAUGUACCGUCUGUCUGGGCCCGUAUGAUAUAUACGUAGGGUGUUUCUACAUGUCCGUCGGGACCAAGACGCGUUAAUCCGAAAAACAAGAUACGUGUACCUCGUUAAAGCGACGGGAUAGAGAACACGCGUAAAAUUCAGCGGCGUGUUUUACGCGGGAUCUUCCGGCCGGCGAGAUCCCGUAAUCGGCGACGGUUUCGUACGCCGGCGUAGCACGUGCGCAGUAUCUCAGCCAAUAGCGGGAAAGUCUGUAACAGAUUAGCCAUUUGUAUUAAUGAGCGCGGUCGUCAGCGUGAUCUACGAAAUCUG